Transfer RNA from Ostreococcus tauri, 74 nucleotides. It matches the Rfam family "tRNA". From Rfam's summary of the family: Transfer RNA (tRNA) molecules are approximately 80 nucleotides in length. Their secondary structure includes four short double-helical elements and three loops (D, anti-codon, and T loops). Lineage: Eukaryota; Viridiplantae; Chlorophyta; Mamiellophyceae; Mamiellales; Bathycoccaceae. The record is from Rfam.
GCACCGUUGGUCUAGUUGGUUAUGACGCUCGCCUCACACGCGAGAGGUCUCCGGUUCGAACCCGGAAUGGUGUA